GACGAACGCUGGCGGCGUGCCUAACACAUGCAAGUUGAGCGACGAACCAGGGCCUGCCCUGGGGCAAAGCAGCGAACGGGUGAGUAACACGUGGGUAACCUACCCCGAUAACCGGGACAACCCGAGGAAACUCGGGCUAAUACCGGAUGUGCUCACUGGACUUCGGUUCAGUGCGUAAAGGAAGCUUCGGCCUCCGUAUCGGGAGGGGCCCGCGGCCCAUUAGUUUGUUGGUGAGGUAACGGCUCACCAAGACCGCGAUGGGUAGCUGGUCUGAGAGGACGAUCAGCCACACUGGGACUGAGACACGGCCCAGACUCCUACGGGAGGCAGCAGUGGGGAAUCUUGCGCAAUGCGCGAAAGCGUGACGCAGCAACGCCGCGUGGGGGAAGAAGGCCUUCGGGUUGUAAACCCCUUUCAGGAGGGACGAAGGUUCGGCGGUGAAUAGCCGUCCGGACUGACGGUACCUCCACAAGAAGCCCCGGCUAACUACGUG
RNAcentral lists this ribosomal RNA (493 nucleotides) under uncultured bacterium. RNAcentral's name for it is "partial 16S ribosomal RNA". It matches the Rfam family "Bacterial small subunit ribosomal RNA", at positions 28 to 507 of the family's 1533-position model. The record is from RNAcentral.